Long non-coding RNA from Aplysia californica (California sea hare), 933 nucleotides. RefSeq lists it as uncharacterized. The record is from RefSeq and is a predicted model, not a curated record. NCBI's taxonomy places the organism in Eukaryota, Metazoa, Mollusca, Gastropoda, Aplysiida, Aplysiidae. The transcript is spliced from 2 exons.
UGCUGUCUGGGCGGGAGUGGGUACUCGCAAGUGGGGGGUGAUCGGGUUGUGUGUUAGAGCCGGUGUGAGCGAGUGAGCGAGACAAGGGGUCGCGUGAGCAUGCAGCUUUCUCUCGGAGACACACACACACGGGGUGAGGGGAGCGAGCAUGUGAAGGAAGGCUCCAGGCUUACAACAAGUUAGGGUUUCCUUCAUGUUGUUGUCGGUUCUCAGACAAAACAGUUAGCUAUAAAAAUCAUGUUCUACUCAUGGUCUUUGUUUUCACGGAAAGAGGAGCCAAACUUCCUUUCUCUAUUUCUUCCUUUGUAUCUCUACUGUUAGGUCUACAGCUCGCAAAUCAAUUAUAUGAUUCGGGUAGUCUGGCAUUCAGUGUUUUAUCUAAAAACCGGUUUGCAAUACUAAGAUUCUAGAUCUAGUUUAAAACAAAAGAACAAUAGUUUCUUUUUUAUGUCAAUUGUAAUGUAAAAGGAAUGUUCCCAGGAAUUUUGCUUUAGUUCCUUUUCCUCUUCGUUGUUCGGUGUAAAUUUCUCCUAUGAUGCUGUUGCGGGUUGAGGGUGCGCGCCGAGCUGUGAAAAAUGGGGAAAUCCCGUAGACUGUUGGUUUGUGCUGUUCUAUGCCUACGAGUGUAGCUUAUAGAAGCCGCAAGCGAUGUGUGGUCGUUCUCUGACUUGUGAGCUCGUGUGAUUCACUCGGCAACAUUUUGCCACAUUUCAAUCCUGGAGUUCGCACGUGCGCGUGUGUGAGUGUGAGACAAGCUCGAGAUCUUGUUAUUGUUGCUGCCGUUGCAGCUGCUGACAUUACGUUCGUGUUGUAGGUCUAGAUAGAUCUAGAUCUAGAGGUUUUGUAGCUGUUGUUGGUGGUGUUGCUGCAUCGGCUCGCUGCUUCAGACUCUUCAUUUGGUCUUUUCUUUUUCGAAAAAACAGCAUAACAAAA